Molecule: non-coding RNA, 835 nt
Organism: Leptonychotes weddellii (Weddell seal)
Lineage: Eukaryota; Metazoa; Chordata; Mammalia; Carnivora; Phocidae
Source: RefSeq, a predicted model, not a curated record
GUCAGAAGGUGAAUAGUAACCUAAUUCUACAUUGCAGUGCCUACGUCAUACACCUGAGUUCGUCUCAUCCUGUAGGGUACACUCCCCACUCAGUUCUAACUAAUCGUGAUGGCAUGCGGCGUGGACCUAACCCUUUACCACUUUCAAGCUCUCCACAAGGAUUAACUAAUUAAUUCAUUUCAUAAAAGGUGCAAACCUCUUCGUGGACUGGGCCUGGCUCCAGGGCUGGGAGUCAAUCAUCAGUGGAUGUACACACCCUAGUUGUCCUCAGAGCCACUGAGCCCCAGGAGGGCAGUGGGCAGAGCUGUUUUUUUUUAAUCACUAUACACAGUACACAUUGUCUUAUAUAAGACAAUGCUUAGCACAUUUUAGGGACUCUGUAUAUUUGUUGAAUAAAGUAAUGAAUAUGAUUAUCUAGUUGUGACCUUGGCCAAGUCACAGCAUUGCUGAGGCUCAGAUCUGUACAACUACAUCUGUGUAAUCCCAUCUGUAUGAUUUGUACAACUGGAAAGUCGCACUGGAUGCCUGCCAAUCCUCUUCCAUUUAACAAACAAAAACCAAAAGCUAAGACUGAAAAGGAAUAGUAGAGUGCUUUCUGUUGCUUUCCCUCUUUAAAGCAUAAUUCAACUUUUUGGGCCAUAAUGACUUUUUCAGAGGUUUGUUGUAAUGUUUUUCUCCUGAAUGAAGGUGUUGAUUCUUUACAGGUGAAUCCUGCUUUAUAAGGGACCCCAGGUGAGGAAGGGACCCCCGCACACUAAGUUUUUAAUUUAAAAACGAAGUGUUGGAGGAUGGGGAACCUUGCUAUAGUUUUUAUCUAAAGGCCUAGAUAAUAACU